Molecule: ribosomal RNA, 503 nt
Filed under: uncultured bacterium
Lineage: Bacteria
Description: partial 16S ribosomal RNA
Rfam family: Bacterial small subunit ribosomal RNA
Source: RNAcentral
GACGAACGCUGGCGGCGUGCUUAACACAUGCAAGUCGAACGGUGAAGCGCUUUCCUUUUUGGUUGGUGUGGAUGAGUGGCGAACGGGUGAGUAACAUGUGAGUAACCUGCCCCCUUCUUCUGGAUAACCGCAUGAAAGUGUGGCUAAUACGGGAUAUUCUGCGCCUGCUGCAUGGUGGGUGUGGGAAAGAUUGUGCCUUUGGGUGUUUUCGGUGGGGGAUGGGCUCGCGGCCUAUCAGCUUGUUGGUGGGGUGAUGGCCUACCAAGGCGGUGACGGGUAGCCGGCCUGAGAGGGUGGACGGUCACACUGGGACUGAGACACGGCCCAGACUCCUACGGGAGGCAGCAGUGGGGAAUAUUGCACAAUGGGCGCAAGCCUGAUGCAGCGACGCCGCGUGAGGGAUGGAGGCCUUCGGGUUGUGAACCUCUUUCGCCAGUGAAGCAGGCCUGCUCCGUGUGGGUGGGUUGACGGUAGCUGGAUAAGAAGCGCCGGCUAACUACGUG